This 1004-nucleotide long non-coding RNA is filed under the name Pan troglodytes (chimpanzee). RNAcentral's name for it is "lincRNA". Lineage: Eukaryota; Metazoa; Chordata; Mammalia; Primates; Hominidae. The record is from RNAcentral.
GUGCAGCUCAGUUGCCAUGAUGCUCCUUGAGUCAAUGAGCUCUUUGGUCUGCUCUUCUGCUCAAGCAGAAAAUGAUCUGCGCUUCACCCUUGAGAAGCUGACAAGAACCACAGGCUUCUUCAGGCAGGUGGUGGAACAUGGGUGUAUCCUGCAGGUGCUCACAGUAUCUCCCUUUGCUCAGGCUCUAGCCUGAUUUUCUUGCUCAUAAGGCCAAAGGGAGCUGGAAAGGUCCCCAUGGCAGGACUCAUGGUGGAGAGAGAAUGGUCUAGAGGAUUCAGGCCUCUGCACACUGUGUCUGGGUCCCUCCUUAAAGAAUGAUAAAGACAAGCAAAGAGCUUGAAGCAGCCUGGAGUCCAGCCAGAAACCUUUAACUGAGCUUUAAAGGAGAUGGUCACAACACUUUUCAGAAUACUGGCAAAGGCCUCCUGUGGCCAGGUUUGUCCUGGGAUGAGCAAAAUUUAAUGUUUACCUGCUGUAUCUUUGCUUUUAAUAUAUCUGCUUGCCCAUCACAAUGACGUUAUGGUUAAUUUCACCAAUUUGGUAACCUGCCUCAUGGGAAGUACGAAAGUAAGCAAGGGCCAGGUGUGGUGACUCACGCCUGUAAUCCCAGUACUUUGGGUGGCUGAGGCAGGUGGAUUGCUUGAGCCCAGGAGUUCAAGACCAACCUGGGCACCAUGACAAAACCCCAUCUCUACAAAAUAUACAAAAAUUAACCAGGAGUGGCAGUGCAUGGCUGUAAUCCCAGCUACUCGGAGGCUGAGGUGGGAGAAUCUCUUGAGCCUGGGAGGCAGAGGUUGCAGUGAGCUGAGAUCACACCACUGCAUUCCAGCCUGGGCAACAAAGCGAGACCCUGUCUCAAAAAAAAAAAAAAAAAAAAGAGAAAGACAGUGAGGGUGUCCUGUGAAUCAAAUCUUUGAAUGGAUGUUUUCUUAACUAACCAAGACCUCUGUAAGAAUUCUGUCUUUGAUUCCACAAUAAAGUGGUGUGAAAUUACUAUAAGCAAA